GACGAACGCUGGCGGCGUGCCUAAUACAUGCAAGUCGAGCGGAUGACGGAGGAGCUUGCUCCUCCUGAUUCAGCGGCGGACGGGUGAGUAACACGUGAGCAACCUGCCCUGUAGAUUGGGAUAACUCCGGGAAACCGGGGCUAAUACCGUAUAAUCCUUCGGACCUCAUGGUCCGAUGUUGAAAGACGGUUUCGGCUGUCACUACAGGAUGGGCCCGCGGCGCAUUAGCUAGUUGGUGAGGUAACGGCUCACCAAGGCCACGAUGCGUAGCCGACCGGGGAGGGUGAUAGGCCACACUGGGACUGAGACACGGCCCAGACUCCUACGGGAGGCAGCAGUAGGGAAUCUUCCACAAUGGACGAAAGUCUGAUGGAGCAACGCCGCGUGAGUGAAGAAGGUUCUCGGAUCGUAAAACUCUGUUGUGAGGGAAGAACAAGUACCGGAGUAACUGCCGGUGCCUUGACGGUACCUCAUUAGAAAGCCACGGCUAACUACGUGCCAGCCGCCGCGGUAA
This 514-nucleotide ribosomal RNA is filed under the name uncultured bacterium. RNAcentral's name for it is "partial 16S ribosomal RNA". It matches the Rfam family "Bacterial small subunit ribosomal RNA", at positions 28 to 523 of the family's 1533-position model. The record is from RNAcentral.